RNA transcript from Sardina pilchardus (European sardine), 3537 nucleotides. It is a transcript of the gene named class I histocompatibility antigen, F10 alpha chain-like, with no coding region annotated. The transcript is spliced from 12 exons. The record is from RefSeq and is a predicted model, not a curated record. NCBI's taxonomy places the organism in Eukaryota, Metazoa, Chordata, Actinopteri, Clupeiformes, Clupeidae.
UUUAGCUGUACUGACGCACUGACGGAGCGCCAACACGACCUGUCGAAAUGUGUUGCCUUUAACACAUAAACCGAUAAAAACACUCACAGAAUUUCGGCUUUCAGUAGGCUAUAGCCUACAAAGUUACGCUGGAACAUGCGUUUUGUGGAAUUAUUGACGGUCUGUGCCAUUCUACCGAUAUGUUUGGCUGGACAAAGUGACCCACAACGGCACUCGCUCUACUAUGUGUACACAGCCCUGUCAAAGGCUGUCAAUGCACCAGGCAUCUUUGAAUUCACUGCCAUGGGCCUACUGGACAACAGAAAGAUUGAUUACUAUGACAGCAAACACCAAGUCAAGAUUCCUCAACAGGACUGGAUGAAAGAAAGGCUUCCAGCGGACUACUGGGAAAAGGGCACCCAGUCACGUAAAAGCAAAGAGCAAUGGUUCAAAGUCAAUGUGAACAUUCUGAUGGAACGCAUGAGACAGAAUAACUCUGAUAUUCAUGUCCUUAUGUGGAAACAUGGCUGUGAGAUUGACAAAAUGGUAGAUGGUUCAUUCAAGUUUGUUCGCGGUGUUGAUGCAUACAGCUAUGAUGGCCAUGAUUUCCUUUCCUUUGAUGAUGCAUCAAUGCAAUGGGUUGCCCCAGUUACUGAAGCUGUGCCCACAAAACAGAAGUGGGAUGGGGUUCCCAUCCUCAAUCAGUACACCAAGGGCUACCUGGAGAAGGAGUGUGUGGAAUGGCUGGAAAGAUUCAGAGAAUAUGGGGACAAAGAAUUAGAACAACAAACAAGAGUUUCUCCACCAAAGGUUCGUCUUUUUGCUAAAGCAGCCGAGUCUUCAAAUACACUCAAGUUGACCUGCAUGGCCACAGGUUUCUACCCCAAAGAAAUCGACAUCACCAUCCUGAAAGGAAAUAAGGUUGUAAAGAAAGGUGAUUUAAGGGAUGUCUUGCCCAAUGGCGAUGGAACCCAUCAGAUCAAAUUGACUGUGGACACCCAAAGGUCUGACAUUGAUGAUUAUAGAUGUGAGGUGAACCACGUAGGCCUGGAGGAACCAAUUAUGAAAGUUUGGACCUUGGAUGGAGAAAUGUGUGGUGAUACCGCCUUAUUCUUCAUUCUUGGAGCGGUAGUGGGGGGACUGGUAGUGCCGACAAUCUUGGGGAUCUUGGCAUUCAUUGCUUAUAGAAGAGGCGUUUUUGGGAAACGGACGGUCAAAAAUCCGGACCUGGUGGAGGUUGCAACAGUGAUGGGUCACGUGAACACACCUUUGCUGCGCAAUGGACAAGUAAAUGGGUCCACUGGACAAGAUGACAAGGCAUCAACAGUGAUUGGGCUGGAAACCACACUGCAGGACGGAAAUGGAAAAUUGGAGGAAUACACUGAUUCUGAGGACGGUGGGGAGGACGGAGUUGAGCUGCUGUCUGAACAAGGCCUAUAACCUAUGCUACAACAAAGUUGUACUGUUCUUUCAGGUAGAGGAAGUCCUGAAGGAUCAACCAACAACCAACAGUGCUGAAAACAUGAACGGAUGAAGAUUAAGAAUGCACCCUUCAAGCUAUUGUCCAAAAUGUUCUUGAAUGAUCACAAGUUAUAAAAAAAACUUGAUUUGGGUAGAAUGCUUCUUUUUCACUUGUCCAUGAAGUUAGUUUACGAGUCAUUUCACUGUAGGCCUACUGUUGGUGCAGGUAUUGGGUAGCAUGGAUUUUGGAUUUACGAUUUGUUUGUGAAAGUAUGCAUUUAAAAUGUUUAAGAUGUGUGACAUUAUUCCUGGCUAGUUAUGUAACAGAGGUGGUUGUGAAUCAGAUUCACCUGCUUUGAUAUCAACGAAAUUUACUACAGGCGUACUAGAGGGCCAAUUCUAAAACGGAUAGUUCCGGUCCUUGAUUGUGAUUGGCUGAAUUGCGUUCGAUGCCGUUGUAAAUAUCAUGAUAAACUCACACCUUGACCGCAUUUCGGCCUAAUGCGUUAGCACAAAACUAGCAGUGGCUGCGUCUUGUUGUUGCAUGGCAACCAUUCAUAAGGAGGGAAUAUAUUUCUUGGCGGAAGAAAGAUCUAUGGAUACAUCGUUACAUUGUCGUUGCUGUGCCUUCGUUUCAUGAAAUCUUGCUAGAUCGACGUAGUAACCGUUUUAGAAAAGUAUGAGACGACCUCCAAAACAGGACAGAGUGGUCUGAGACAUUCACACCGGCUGGAGGUCAUUCUGUAGGGCUCUAGCAGGGCUCCUACUGUUCCGUCUUGCACAAAGGAGCAAAUCCAGGGGCCGGACAUAUUCAAUAUUUAUUUCAAUUCAAGAACUUCAGUUUUACACAUAUUGAAUCUGAAAGUGGCCUAAAACUAUGGCCUAUUUGCUGUUCUGUUAGGCCUGCCAAUAGGCCAAUAAAAAGCACUUUAUUUCUUAUGACUUUUACACUUGUUACAACUUUUCCAGAAAAUCCAUAGAUUUGUUUUGACAGGCCAACAAGACACUAAUUUUCUUCAAUGAAAAUCCAACUACUAACAGUCCAAGCAUUACCUGGAGGAAAGUCCAUAAAGUUAAUCUACCUGUGUGUAACGGAGUAAAAAGAGUUGGCUAGUUAAACUAUUAAAAAUGAUGCAACUGCGCCAUCUAGCGGCAAGUACAUUCGAUGUGACAGUGGGGUUUGCGUAAUCGCGUUGCUUUUACCCAGACUGAGAUUAAUAGAUAAUGGGUAGGCCUAAGUCAAGCAACUUGGGAGGUCCGGGAUAAACAAUGUUUUCUUGUAAUUUUAAGUACAUAUGCCUCGUAUUUUGUCAUGCAAUGUAGGCCUACUUAUUAUGAUUUCAGUUAACUAUUUUGAGUUUAGUUUUUGACCUAGCUUUUGUAAAGUGACGUUUUAGAGACUUGCAACAAAGCAUUUCUAUGUGAACUAGCGUGCUAAUGUUCACUUGCGUUGCAUGUUAUCCAGAUUGUUGUCCCGAGAUCUACUCUAUGUACAGCGAACCCAAAUCCACACUGUCAUAUUUUAUUGCAGUUAAUAUUUUGAAAUAUCCUUGUUUUUGUGUAAAUGGUUUUACCGUCAUGUUGUUUUAUAUGCGCAAUCUGCUUUAUACGUUUCCUAUAUUUAGAUAAGCAGCCUGUGCACGUUUAGCUAUCUUGCAGACCAGCGUGGUAGUCUGGAGAUUAGCCACAUGUGCUCGAGUGCUGCGUUUGCAACACUUGUGCUGAGUUAGUGAUGAUAUUCGUUCCUUAUUGUGUUAUUUCAAUAUAAUGUAAAAUGGAUCAAGUCAUUUCCCUAUUGUAAUGCUGAAAUGUAUUGUAUGCUAUGUGUAGAGAUUGUACUAAGCAGAUAUUCUAGAAAUUAACCACUAUACGAUCACACACAGAUUUAUUUUGUUUCACAUACAUACAAGUUAUGCAUUUAUGUUAUUGCAUUAUUCGACUGAUUAACAGUAUUACACAUUUGUAACUAGUACAAAUAUUUACCCAGACUGAGAUUAAUAGAUAAUGGAUUGUUGUCCCGAGAUCUACUCUAUGUACAGCGAACCCAAAUCCACACUGUCAUAUUUUAUUGCAGCAAUAAAGAAAAACCUGAUCCAA